GACGGAGGAUGCAAGCGUUAUCCGGAUUUAUUGGGUUUAAAGGGAGCGUAGGCGGGAUAGUAAGUCAGUGGUGAAAGCCUGAGGCUCAACCUCGGAACUGCCAUUGAUACUGCUAACCUAGAGUACAUUUGAUGUGGGCGGAAUGUGUCAUGUAGCGGUGAAAUGCUUAGAUAUGACACAGAACACCGAUUGCGAAGGCAGCUCACAAAACUGUAACUGACGCUGAGGCUCGAAAGCGUGGGGAUCAAACAGG
This 253-nucleotide ribosomal RNA is filed under the name uncultured bacterium. RNAcentral's name for it is "partial 16S ribosomal RNA". It matches the Rfam family "Bacterial small subunit ribosomal RNA", at positions 524 to 776 of the family's 1533-position model. The record is from RNAcentral.